RNAcentral lists this ribosomal RNA (1353 nucleotides) under Triticum aestivum (bread wheat). RNAcentral's name for it is "partial small subunit ribosomal RNA". Lineage: Eukaryota; Viridiplantae; Streptophyta; Magnoliopsida; Poales; Poaceae. The record is from RNAcentral.
AUGGGUUCUCCCUCCACCGCCGCCAUGACCUCCUCGGCUCUUGCCUCUCUGCCCAUGCCGUCCGGUCUCGCGGCGUCGCCGUCUUCCGUUGUUCCCCAACCCUCUGCUAGCCUCAUUACCGCCAAGCUCACCUCCUCCAACUAUCUUCUCUGGAAAGCUCAGAUCCUUCCUCCCCUUCGCAUCGCCGGUGUCACCGACUAUGUCGAGGGCACCACCCCCACUCCUGCUCGCCUCCUCCCGGCCGAUGACAAGGGGGAGCGUGCUCCUAAUCCGGAGUACGCUACCUGGUCCCGUCAGGAUCAAAUCAUCCUGAGCUACCUGCUUGCCUCGCUCACCGACGAUGUGCUUCAGCAGGUCCACCUCUUCGACACCUCCCGCGCCAUCUGGGCGCACCUCGAGGAGAUGUACGUCACGCAUUGCCGCGCCAGUGUGGUGCAGAUCAAGAUGGACAUGAUGAAUUUCUGCAAGGGCAACCUCUCCAUGGUCGACUACUUCACCAAGAUCCGCUCCAACGCCGAUCAGCUCGUUGCGGCGGGCCGCCCCAUGCGAGAGGAGGACAUCAUCACCGCCUUCAUCACCGGCCUCGACAGCGACUAUGAGCCACUCAUCACGGCUAUCACCACCCGCAUCGACGUCAUGACGCUGGGCGAACUCUACUCCCACGCCAUCUCCUUCGAGCGCCGCCGUGAGUAUCACGCGGCUCAUCUUCAACUUCACACGGGCGGCUCCUCUGUCAACUACGUUGCCCGCGACAACAACGGCAACUCCAACAACCGCGGCAAGGGCAACUACCGCGGCAAGGGUCGCAGCAACUCCGGUGACCGCGGUGACUACAACAACAACAACCGCGGCGGCUACCGCGGUGAUCGUGGCGGUGGUGGCAAUCGCCAAAACGCGAACGGCAACCGCGGUGGUGGUGACCGCGGUGACCACGAUGGUGGCAGUGAUGCACGUCUGCAGUGCCAACUCUGCCGGGGCCCUGGGCACUAUGCCUGGGAGUGUGCCCAACGCUACAACCACGCCUUCCAACCUCAGCACUCCAAGAUGGCGGGUCUAGCAGCUGCGUCACCACCAUCCAUCCUCGGCGAUCCUACCUGGUUCACUGACACGGGGGCCACCAAUCACAUCACGUCGGACCUGGACCGCCUCACCGUGAGGAAGAAAUAUCCUGGACAGGACCGCAUCCACACUGCCGAUGGAUCAGGUUUGCACAUAGCUCAACAUGGUCAUGCUCUCCUUCCUACUCCCUCUGCCCAUCUCAAACUUCGCAACAUACUACAUGUUCCAAAUGCCGAUAAGAAUCUCCUUUCUGUUAAUUGCCUUGCCACUGAUAAUCAUGCUUAUCUAAAAUAG